Molecule: ribosomal RNA, 1388 nt
Filed under: uncultured bacterium
Lineage: Bacteria
Description: bacterial SSU rRNA
Rfam family: Bacterial small subunit ribosomal RNA
Source: RNAcentral
AGAGUUUGCUUUUGGCUCAGGAUGAACGCUGGCGGCGUGCCUAACACAUGCAAGUCGAGCGAGAAGCCUGCAGAAGAUUCUUCGGAUGAUUCAGUAGGUGGAAAGCGGCGGACGGGUGAGUAACGCGUAGGCAACCUGCCCUUAGCAGAGGGAUAGCCUCGGGAAACCGGGAUUAAAACCUCAUAAAACUUCUGUUAGACAUCUAAUAGAGGUCAAAGAUUUAUCGGCUAAGGAUGGGCCUGCGUCUGAUUAGCCGGUUGGUGAGGUAACGGCUCACCAAAGCAAUGAUCAGUAGCCGACCUGAGAGGGUGAUCGGCCACAUUGGAACUGAGACACGGUCCAAACUCCUACGGGAGGCAGCAGUGGGGAAUAUUGCACAAUGGAGGAAACUCUGAUGCAGCAACGCCGCGUGAAGGAAGAAGGCCCUUGGGUCGUAAACUUCUGUUCUGAGGGAAGAUAGUGACGGUACCUCAGGAGCAAGUCCCGGCUAACUACGUGCCAGCAGCCGCGGUAAUACGUAGGGGGCGAGCGUUGUCCGGAAUGAUUGGGCGUAAAGGGCGCGUAGGCGGCCUGCUAAGUCUGGAGUGAAAGUCCUGCUUUCAAGGUGGGAAUUGCUUUGGAUACUGGUAGGCUGGAGUGCAGGAGAGGAAAGCGGAAUUACCGGUGUAGCGGUGAAAUGCGUAGAGAUCGGUAGGAACACCAGUGGCGAAGGCGGCUUUCUGGACUGAAACUGACGCUGAGGCGCGAAAGCGUGGGGAGCAAACAGGAUUAGAUACCCUGGUAGUCCACGCGGUAAACGAUGAAUGCUAGGUGUAGGAGGUAUCGACCCCUUCUGUGCCGGAGUUAACACAAUAAGCAUUCCGCCUGGGGAGUACGGCCGCAAGGUUGAAACUCAAAGAAAUUGACGGGGGCCCGCACAAGCAGCGGAGCAUGUGGUUUAAUUCGAAGCAACGCGAAGAACCUUACCAGGUCUUGACAUCCAAUAAAACUUGUAGAGAUACAUCGUGCCUUCGGGCGUAUUGAGACAGGUGGUGCAUGGUUGUCGUCAGCUCGUGUCGUGAGAUGUUGGGUUAAGUCCCGCAACGAGCGCAGCCCCUGUCGUUAGUUGCCAGCAUUCAGUUGGGGACUCUAACGAGACUGCCAGUGACAAACUGGAGGAAGGUGGGGAUGACGUCAAAUCAUCAUGCCCCUUAUGACCUGGGCUACACACGUGCUACAAUGGUUGGUACAAAGAGAAGCGAAGCGGUGACGUGGAGCAAACCUCAUAAAGCCAAUCUCAGUUCGGAUUGUAGGCUGCAACUCGCCUACAUGAAGUUGGAAUCGCUAGUAAUCGCGAAUCAGCAUGUCGCGGUGAAUACGAACCCGGGUCUUGCACACACCGCCCGUCA